This 549-nucleotide unclassified non-coding RNA is filed under the name Hevea brasiliensis (rubber tree). Lineage: Eukaryota; Viridiplantae; Streptophyta; Magnoliopsida; Malpighiales; Euphorbiaceae. The record is from RNAcentral.
UUACCACUUCUUUUGGGUCAAACAUCUUUACUAUACUCUGGGAGAUGUGAUUUGCUCAGUUCUGCAAAUUUGAGCAACACAGAUUUUUUGUUGAUCGUGCCAUAUAUGUUUAAGUUCUGCCAGGUCCUACCAGUUGGAAAAGAAUUACUGUCUUGUCUUACCUGUUUUAAAGAACUAGGUUCUUGCAAUGAAGGUCGAAGUGCUUUGCUGACUUCAUUACGUGAUGUCAAGACCAGCAGUGAGGAACUUAGAUCAGAAAGUGUGCAUGAAAGGAAUGGGAACUAUAAUCUUGAUGAUUUUGAAAGGAAAAAGUAUCCUCCUUUGCUUUAUUGCUGGAAAAAAUUGAUGAAAUCAAUUGAUUCAAAGGAUGCUUUGUCAGCUUGUGCAAUUGAGGCUGUUAAUGAAUUAUUUAUAGGUUCAUUGUGCUUUUGCAUGGAUGGUAAAAGUCUGAAUUCAAAUUCUGUGGAUGCAAUAAAACGUCUAUUUGGGCUUCAAGAUGAUAUGGAUGGGACAGAUGGUUCUUUAGAAAAUAUGACUUUAAUACGGGAG